Molecule: long non-coding RNA, 604 nt
Filed under: Agrilus planipennis (emerald ash borer)
Lineage: Eukaryota; Metazoa; Arthropoda; Insecta; Coleoptera; Buprestidae
Description: uncharacterized LOC112905939
Source: RNAcentral
UGUUGUUUUUCUUGCACUAAUUUCAUCUUCUUAUUCACAAUAUGUCUCUCGAGGCCAGUGUGAAGACAGAAAAAUAAAACCAGUAGAACAGUUCCCACUAAUCGCUGUGUAUGGAGGUGAUCAAGUUUACCGCAGAUGGUUCACUGUGAUUACUUCCAACAUCUCAGCCGCCUGCCAGGAAAUAAGCUUUAGAAGAAGAACAAGUUCGGUGGAUGAAUCGCAAUUCACUUUGACACAAAAAAGUUUAGGAAAACAAGAGUUAGAAGGCGUGGUAUCACUGGGAAAUUAUAAUGGGGAAAAGGUUAUAAAUGUACAAUUCAACAAUACCGAAGGCGUGACGCAGUUUAGAAUCCUUGGGUUCGUUAACACGUAUUAUACCAUUGAUUACAAUUGCGUCAAUCUAAAUAGCGCUUCCAGAAGAGAGCUGUUAUAUGUGAGGAGCAGGACCAGAGCGUACUCAGAUGCAAUAGGCGAAGAAAUUGAUCAAAUCAUUAAAAACAACGGCCUGACCGAUAUAAAACUAAUAUACCCUAAUCAGGAGUUUAUGAGUUGUUAUUGAAAUUUGUACGAAAUGAAUUAACAUUAAAUCUGUUAGCAAUUUGAA